RNAcentral lists this ribosomal RNA (736 nucleotides) under uncultured bacterium. RNAcentral's name for it is "SSU rRNA". It matches the Rfam family "Bacterial small subunit ribosomal RNA", at positions 83 to 853 of the family's 1533-position model. The record is from RNAcentral.
CUUUCGGGCAUAGUGGCGCACGGGUGCGUAACGCGUGGGAAUCUGCCCCUUGGUUCGGAAUAACUCAGAGAAAUUUGAGCUAAUACCGGAUGACGACGUAAGUCCAAAGAUUUAUCGCCGAGGGAUGAGCCCGCGUAGGAUUAGCUAGUUGGUGGGGUAAAGGCCUACCAAGGCGACGAUCCUUAGCUGGUCUGAGAGGAUGAUCAGCCACACUGGGACUGAGACACGGCCCAGACUCCUACGGGAGGCAGCAGUGGGGAAUAUUGGACAAUGGGCGAAAGCCUGAUCCAGCAAUGCCGCGUGAGUGAUGAAGGCCUUAGGGUUGUAAAGCUCUUUUACCCGGGAUGAUAAUGACAGUACCGGGAGAAUAAGCUCCGGCUAACUCCGUGCCAGCAGCCGCGGUAAUACGGAGGGAGCUAGCGUUGUUCGGAAUUACUGGGCGUAAAGCGCACGUAGGCGGCUUUGUAAGUUAGAGGUGAAAGCCUGGAGCUCAACUCCAGAACUGCCUUUGAUACUGCAUGGCUUGAAUCCAAGAGAGGUGAGUGGAAUUCCGAGUGUAGAAGUGAAAUUCGUAGAUAUUCGGAAGAACACCAGUGGCGAASGCGGCUCACUGGCUUGGUAUUGACGCUGAGGUGGGAAAAGGUUGGGGAGCAAACAGGAUUAGAUACCCUGGUAGUCCACGCCGUAAACGAUGAUAACUAGCUGUCGGGGCACUUGGUGUUUCGGUGGCGCAGCU